ACGAACGCUGGCGGCUGCUUAACACAUGCAAGUCGAACGGAGUGGCGAACGGGUGAGUAACGCGUGAGCAACCUGCCUAUGCCAGUGGGAUAGCCUCGGGAAACCGGGAUUAAUACCGCAUAGUCAUAGUUGGGGUCGCGUCUGAUUAGAUAGUUGGUGAGAUAACAGCCCACCACGGCGACGAUCAGUAGCCGGUCUUGGGAGACGAACGAGAACGUUGCGACUGGGACACGGUGCAAACUCUUACGGGAGGCAGCAAUGGUGAACAUUGAACGAUGGGGUAAUGCCUGAGGCAGCGACGCCGCGUGAACGAAGAAGGUAUGCAGAUCGUAAAGUUCUGUCCUAUGGUAAGCAGUACCAUAGCAGAAAGCUCCGGCUAAAUACGUGCCAGCAGCCGCGGUAAUUC
RNAcentral lists this ribosomal RNA (406 nucleotides) under uncultured bacterium. RNAcentral's name for it is "partial 16S ribosomal RNA". It matches the Rfam family "Bacterial small subunit ribosomal RNA", at positions 29 to 526 of the family's 1533-position model. The record is from RNAcentral.